This 128-nucleotide non-coding RNA is filed under the name uncultured Vagococcus sp. RNAcentral describes it as "glmS glucosamine-6-phosphate activated ribozyme". It matches the Rfam family "glmS glucosamine-6-phosphate activated ribozyme aptamer", at positions 11 to 159 of the family's 167-position model. Rfam says of the family: This entry contains a glucosamine-6-phosphate activated ribozyme that is found in the mRNA for GlmS. GlmS is an enzyme that uses fructose-6-phosphate and glutamine to generate glucosamine-6-phosphate. Lineage: Bacteria; Bacillati; Bacillota; Bacilli; Lactobacillales; Enterococcaceae. The record is from RNAcentral.
UUAGCGCCAGACCUUUUUAGGUGACGAGGAAUGAGUUUAUCGAAAAUUCGGCGGGUGGCUCAUAGGGUUUGCACUCUUAGGAUAAAGACAAAAUAACAAGGGAACUUGUUUGACAAAACUUUAUUCAU